This 368-nucleotide long non-coding RNA is filed under the name Lathyrus oleraceus (garden pea). RNAcentral describes it as "Pisum sativum (pea) long non-coding RNA (PSAT_LNC012121)". The record is from RNAcentral. Lineage: Eukaryota; Viridiplantae; Streptophyta; Magnoliopsida; Fabales; Fabaceae.
UCCGAUCCGAAAACAUAAUCAAAUAUAUCAACAAAAUAGAUAAAGUAUAUAUCAUAUAUAAACUAUUACCAAACUGUGUGUACGAUAGUAUAGAUCAGCCACUCUCAGUUUCUCUUUUUUGUUCUGUCUUUCGGCCUCCCUCUAUCAGUCAUGCUAGUAAAUAAUAUAGGAACAAAUUAGGUUAAUGAUAAUGGGCCUAAGUUUUUUUUGAAACCCAAUAUUAAAUUAAAAACUGAAUAAAGUUAAAUAAUUAAAAUAGUUAAAAUUAAAAUAAAAACUAAUUAACCUAUUUAUUUAUUCUAGACCCAAUAUUAAAUUAAAACUGAAUAAAGUUAAAUAAUUAAAAUAGUUAAAAUUAAAAUAAAAAC